UACGGAGGGUGCAAACGUUGCUCGGAAUUAUUGGGCGUAAAGCGCGCGUAGGCGGUGCGGCCAGUCGGGUGUGAAAGCCCUCGGCUCAACCGAGGAAGUGCAUCCGAAACUACCGUACUUGAGUACCGGAGAGGAUGACGGAAUUCCCGGUGUAGAGGUGAAAUUCGUAGAUAUCGGGAGGAACACCAGCGGCGAAGGCGGUCAUCUGGACGGAUACUGACGCUGAGGCGCGAAAGCGUGGGGAGCAAACAGG
Molecule: ribosomal RNA, 253 nt
Filed under: uncultured bacterium
Lineage: Bacteria
Description: partial 16S ribosomal RNA
Rfam family: Bacterial small subunit ribosomal RNA
Source: RNAcentral